Molecule: ribosomal RNA, 749 nt
Filed under: Priestia megaterium
Lineage: Bacteria; Bacillati; Bacillota; Bacilli; Caryophanales; Bacillaceae
Description: bacterial SSU rRNA
Rfam family: Bacterial small subunit ribosomal RNA
Source: RNAcentral
UCAUGCAAGUCGAGCGAACUGAUUAGAAGCUUGCUUCUAUGACGUUAGCGGCGGACGGGUGAGUAACACGUGGGCAACCUGCCUGUAAGACUGGGAUAACUUCGGGAAACCGAAGCUAAUACCGGAUAGGAUCUUCUCCUUCAUGGGAGAUGAUUGAAAGAUGGUUUCGGCUAUCACUUACAGAUGGGCCCGCGGUGCAUUAGCUAGUUGGUGAGGUAACGGCUCACCAAGGCAACGAUGCAUAGCCGACCUGAGAGGGUGAUCGGCCACACUGGGACUGAGACACGGCCCAGACUCCUACGGGAGGCAGCAGUAGGGAAUCUUCCGCAAUGGACGAAAGUCUGACGGAGCAACGCCGCGUGAGUGAUGAAGGCUUUCGGGUCGUAAAACUCUGUUGUUAGGGAAGAACAAGUACGAGAGUAACUGCUCGUACCUUGACGGUACCUAACCAGAAAGCCACGGCUAACUACGUGCCAGCAGCCGCGGUAAUACGUAGGUGGCAAGCGUUAUCCGGAAUUAUUGGGCGUAAAGCGCGCGCAGGCGGUUUCUUAAGUCUGAUGUGAAAGCCCACGGCUCAACCGUGGAGGGUCAUUGGAAACUGGGGAACUUGAGUGCAGAAGAGAAAAGCGGAAUUCCACGUGUAGCGGUGAAAUGCGUAGAGAUGUGGAGGAACACCAGUGGCGAAGGCGGCUUUUUGGUCUGUAACUGACGCUGAGGCGCGAAAGCGUGGGGAGCAAACAGGAUUAGAU